Molecule: long non-coding RNA, 985 nt
Organism: Oreochromis niloticus (Nile tilapia)
Lineage: Eukaryota; Metazoa; Chordata; Actinopteri; Cichliformes; Cichlidae
Exons: 2
Source: RefSeq, a predicted model, not a curated record
GGUUAUUAUUAUAUUUACAUGCUUUCAUCUCCCGUUUCUGCUCGGUGACAACUCUUUUUGACUCUCUUUUUUUCUCCCUCCCUCACGCUGACAGACACAUAUCAGGUAUGACAGUCCAUUCUCCCUUCAGCAUGAAACAUGAAACUUGACACUGCCCAUGAGGCUACAUUCUUUAGGGCUAUGCCUGUAACACUCUCCCUAUUGGAUUUAUAUUAAAUAAUUUUUUGAAUAAUAAUUUUUAAAGGUAUUUCUUCACGUCAUUAUGCAGGCCGCAAGUAGGGGUGACAUUGUCACGGCUGCGGGGGCAGACGUGUGGUGAGUGAGAGACAGGAUCCAGACACAGGCACUGGCUUGGAUGUGAGCGAGCUUUUAUUAACACAACGGUGGCACAAACAGAAACAUGGCAAGCAAAACAAAACCUAAAGGUGACCUACACUGGGAGUGACUAACAGAACGAACCUGAACGGAUGACUCUAGGAGGAACACGCAUGGAAGUAACACAGAAGGGAACGAGGAAACUAUACACAGGCGGGAGGCACAGCUGAUUGUGAUUAACAAGACGAGGAGGGGGAAACGCAAACUGAACAUACUGGCAUAAGACAGAUCUUCACAAUAAAACAGGAAACUCAAAACACACGCGAAGACACCGACUCAGAGACGCGGGCUUUACACAGAGGGGAUACACAGGUAGGGAUCACACAGAACAGGGGGAGCACGGACUUAACACUAGGAGAACAAAUAACAAAACCUAAACCAGAAAUAAUAAUAAUAAUCAUCAUCAUCAUCAUCAUCGGACGGCUAAAGAAUCAGGAUAUAAUUAUAAUCAAAACAGUAUCACCAAAGAAUAAGAACUAAUCCAUAAUGCAAAGAUAAACCAAAACCUAAGGAACUCAAAAUGCUGGGUCGAACCGACCCAGGACCGUGACAGACAUGGGCCCAGGAUUGAGAUCCAGGCAUUAGAUUGGUAUUAGUUAGGCAUUAUUUU